This is a transfer RNA of Phytophthora infestans T30-4, 73 nucleotides long. It matches the Rfam family "tRNA". Rfam says of the family: Transfer RNA (tRNA) molecules are approximately 80 nucleotides in length. Their secondary structure includes four short double-helical elements and three loops (D, anti-codon, and T loops). Further hydrogen bonds mediate the characteristic L-shaped molecular structure. tRNAs have two regions of fundamental functional importance: the anti-codon, which is responsible for specific mRNA codon recognition, and the 3' end, to which the tRNAs corresponding amino acid is attached (by aminoacyl-tRNA synthetases). tRNAs cope with the degeneracy of the genetic code in two manners: having more than one tRNA (with a specific anti-codon) for a particular amino acid; and 'wobble' base-pairing, i.e. permitting non-standard base-pairing at the 3rd anti-codon position. NCBI's taxonomy places the organism in Eukaryota, Oomycota, Peronosporomycetes, Peronosporales, Peronosporaceae. The record is from Rfam.
GCUCCUUUGGCUCAGCUGGUAGAGCGUCAGUCUCAUAAUCUGAAGGUCGCCAGUUCGAGCCUGGCAGGGAGCA